This 493-nucleotide ribosomal RNA is filed under the name uncultured bacterium. RNAcentral describes it as "bacterial SSU rRNA". It matches the Rfam family "Bacterial small subunit ribosomal RNA", at positions 15 to 507 of the family's 1533-position model. The record is from RNAcentral.
GAUCAUGGCUCAGGAUGAACGCUAGCGGCAGGCUUAACACAUGCAAGUCGAGGGGCAGCACGUCUUCGGAUGGUGGCGACCGGCGCACGGGUGCGUAACGCGUAUAGAACCUACCUUUUACAGGGGAAUAGCCCAGAGAAAUUUGGAUUAAUGCCCCAUAGUAUUAUUGAAUGGCAUCAUUUAAUAAUUAAACAUUUAUGGGUAAAAGAUGGCUAUGCGUUCUAUUAGCUAGUAGGUAAGGUAACGGCUUACCUAGGCAACGAUAGAUAGGGGUCCUGAGAGGGAGAUCCCCCACACUGGUACUGAGACACGGACCAGACUCCUACGGGAGGCAGCAGUGAGGAAUAUUGGACAAUGGGCGAGAGCCUGAUCCAGCCAUGCCGCGUGCAGGAAGACGGUCCUAUGGAUUGUAAACUGCUUUUAUACAGGAAGAAACACUCGGACGUGUCCGAGCUUGACGGUACUGUAUGAAUAAGCACCGGCUAACUCCGUG